Molecule: ribosomal RNA, 497 nt
Filed under: uncultured bacterium
Lineage: Bacteria
Description: partial 16S ribosomal RNA
Rfam family: Bacterial small subunit ribosomal RNA
Source: RNAcentral
GAUGAACGCUGGCGGCGUGCCUAAUACAUGCAAGUCGAGCGAACAGACGAGGAGCUUGCUCCUCUGACGUUAGCGGCGGACGGGUGAGUAACACGUGGAUAACCUACCUAUAUGACUGGGAUAACUUCGGGAAACCGGAGCUAAUACCGGAUAAUAUAUUGAACCGCAUGGUUCAAUAGCGAAAGACGGUUUUGCUGUCACUUAUAGAUGGAUCCGCGCCGCAUUAGCUAGUUGGUAAGGUAACGGCUUACCAAGGCAACGAUGCGUAGCCGACCUGAGAGGGUGAUCGGCCACACUGGAACUGAGACACGGUCCAGACUCCUACGGGAGGCAGCAGUAGGGAAUCUUCCGCAAUGGGCGAAAGCCUGACGGAGCAACGCCGCGUGAGUGAUGAAGGUCUUCGGAUCGUAAAACUCUGUUAUUAGGGAAGAACAAAUGUGUAAGUAACUAUGCACGUCUUGACGGUACCUAAUCAGAAAGCCACGGCUAACUACGUG